GGUUUGGCAGUGAGUGAUUCUUUUUAGGGGAAGGUGUGGUGUAAAGGAUGUUCCGCCUAUUAUUUUACUUUUAUUAUGUUGGUGUAUAUCUGAUUUAAUAUUAUUGCUUAAUGGUUUAAGUUUGUGUAUAUUUAUUUAAGUCAAGUCUAUGUGCUGCUUAUAAAAGUAUUCAUGCGUUACUUUAAUAAUAUGUUGGUUGAAAUAUUAAUUAAUUUAGGACUUAAUAGUAAUAUUUAAUUAAUUUGU
This 246-nucleotide ribosomal RNA is filed under the name Taenia martis (marten tapeworm). Its description in RNAcentral is "partial small subunit ribosomal RNA". The record is from RNAcentral. Lineage: Eukaryota; Metazoa; Platyhelminthes; Cestoda; Cyclophyllidea; Taeniidae.